RNAcentral lists this transfer RNA (66 nucleotides) under Atypus karschi. RNAcentral describes it as "tRNA-Trp". The record is from RNAcentral. Lineage: Eukaryota; Metazoa; Arthropoda; Arachnida; Araneae; Atypidae.
AGAGUUGAAGGAUACUGAUCUUUAAGCUUUCAAAGUUUAAGAAGUAAUAUGAAUUUACAAUUCAUC